GUCCCCGGCGUCCGGGCGCCCUGCAUGGAUCCCCCACCCCAGCUCCUGCUCCCCGGCGGCGGCCGGUGGGCAGAAAGACCGAAACCCACUCACGGCCGCCUGCCGAAUCGCGGCUCUGCUGUUUGUGGGGCGUGCUAGAAACGUGGUCCUAAAAAGAAUGGCGUCCAUUUACAUAAUGCUUUGUUUGCGUUUCGCAAGUUUCUUUCGGUUAAAGCCACAGAAACCCCACCUCCUGCCCUUGUGUCGUUUCCACCGCGGCACCCUUUUCCGACAUUAGAAACAAUAGUGUACGCCUGUGGAGGCCUCGUUUGUUCAGGGGCUGCCGGCCAGGGCUUCAGGACGUUUCUGCGGCUUUCCCCGCGCGGCCUGGGCUCCCGCGGCUGCUUUUCGGGCCCAUGGGCGCAGCCACUGCGCCAGGCUCAAGGGGGGCGGCCCCGUCAGGGCCCGCCAUCUUGGAAGGCCUUUUUUGCCGGUUCUUCCCGCUGAGGAAGUGUCGCUCAAGACGCUGGCCUAUGAGUUGUGAUUUCUGCCUUUUCCCCUUCCUCCUUGGGCUAAGCCAGACCAGAAAGGGCCCCGUGCGCAACGUGCUUCACAAUCUCUCAGGGAAAGCGGCUAACGUGGCGCUACUCCGCCUCCCCUGUUCCUUACCCUUGGGGCGGCCGCCAUGUUUCCUGAACACAAAAUGGCGACACGUGGUUAGCAUUCGUCGCCAACGAGAAAUUGGGGUCGGCCCGAAAGCUCUAGAAUGCACCCCUCUUCCUCCCCGGGGCCUUCCACCUCCGCGAGUUUUAUGACUUAAAAAAGCCCACAGGCUGGUCUGAAGGUCGGAGGCCUAAUUUUAACGCGUUUUCCUCCCUUUAAUUUGAAACGGGAACGCGAAUGACUGUAAAAUGUGGGCACAAUAUUUAAUCUCUCGCCUUUUUAAAGCUUAAUAGUGGAUAAUAGGGGGGCAGUAUCAAGGGAUAAUUUGGGUCCCCACAGUACCAAAGCAUUUAGAAACCUCUGUUUAAUUUAAGGAAUGAGAUAAGUUACUGCUUUUCUAGACUUCCUAGCAUGGGCUGUUGUGCUGGAGAGAACGAGAGCUACGAAGAGACUACAGUGCCUCUGACUUUUUCAUAGGACAGUUGGCCGAGGAAGACAAACAUAAAGAUGAAGUGCUUAAUUCAAGGUCACACAAUGUCGGGGAUGGACCUCCAGAUUUCCUUACUGACCUGCAUUAUCUUGUGGAUACCUGAGUGAAUUCCACACCACCCAUUUUAUAGAUGAAACCACUGAGACAUGGAGCAAUUGACUGAGUAGUCACUGCCCCACCCCUGCCUGGAGCCUCACACAUGACUCGCCUCCUCUCAGUGACCACAGGAAAACAAGCUCAGGGCUCCCACUGAUUGUACAUUAUGAGACGGAGUCUUGCUAUGUUGCCCAGGCUGGUCUUGAACUCCUCACCUCAAGCGAUCCUCCCGUCUUGGCCUCCCAAGUGUCAGGAUUACGGGCAUGUGCUAUCACACCCAACCUGAUACAUUGCCUUUAUAAAUUUUUUUUUCUUUAUUCUAAAAACCAGAAAAAACAAAACUGGAUACAUGUGCAGAACAUGCAGGUGAGACGUGGUCUUGUAACACAGUGGUUAAGAAUGUGACUUUGGAGCCAGCCUGCUAGGGGCUGAAUUCUGACUCAGCCAUUUACUAACUGUGUGACCUUAGUCUGUCUAGUGACUGGUGUUGUCAUAAGAAGAGAGGGACACAGAGGGAAGAUGGCCACAUGAAGAUGGAGGCAGAGAUUGCAGUUAUGCUGCUGCAAACUAAGGAAUGGCUCUGGCCCUCCAAGGAUUGCUGAUAACCACCAGAAACUAGAAGAGACAAGGAAGGAUUCUUCCCUAGAGCCUUCAGAGGGAGCAUGGCCCUACUGACACCUGGAUUUCAAACUUGUAGCUUCCUAAACUGCAAGAGAAUAAAUUUCUGUUGUUUUAAGCCA
Molecule: long non-coding RNA, 1968 nt
Filed under: Homo sapiens (human)
Lineage: Eukaryota; Metazoa; Chordata; Mammalia; Primates; Hominidae
Description: PCBP1 antisense RNA 1, transcript variant 53 (PCBP1-AS1)
Source: RNAcentral